This 350-nucleotide ribosomal RNA is filed under the name uncultured bacterium. RNAcentral describes it as "bacterial SSU rRNA". It matches the Rfam family "Bacterial small subunit ribosomal RNA", at positions 355 to 697 of the family's 1533-position model. The record is from RNAcentral.
UGGGGAAUAUUGCACAAUGGGCGCAAGCCUGAUGCAGCCAUGCCGCGUGUGUGAAGAAGGCCUUCGGGUUGUAAAGCACUUUCAGUAGGGAGGAAGGUUCAUGCGUUAAUAGCGUAUGGAUUUGACGUUACCUACAGAAGAAGCACCGGCUAACUCCGUGCCAGCAGCCGCGGUAAUACGGAGGGUGCGAGCGUUAAUCGGAAUUACUGGGCGUAAAGCGCAUGCAGGUGGUUUGUUAAGUCAGAUGUGAAAGCCCGGGGCUCAACCUCGGAAUUGCAUUUGAAACUGGCAGACUAGAGUACUGUAGAGGGGGGUAGAAUUUCAGGUGUAGCGGUGAAAUGCGUAGAGAU